GGUAAAAUGGCUGAGUUUAGGUGAUAGACUGUAAUUCUAUUGACGGGAAUUCUUUCCCUUUUACCA
This 66-nucleotide transfer RNA is filed under the name Tetraphalerus bruchi. RNAcentral's name for it is "tRNA-Tyr". It matches the Rfam family "tRNA". Rfam says of the family: Transfer RNA (tRNA) molecules are approximately 80 nucleotides in length. Their secondary structure includes four short double-helical elements and three loops (D, anti-codon, and T loops). The record is from RNAcentral. Lineage: Eukaryota; Metazoa; Arthropoda; Insecta; Coleoptera; Ommatidae.